GGUUGCGAUCAUACCAGCACUAAUGCACCGGAUCCCAUCAGAACUCCACAGUUAAGCGUGCUUGGGCGAGAGUAGUACUAGGAUGGGUGACCCCUGGGAAGUCCUCGUGUUGCAACCC
Molecule: ribosomal RNA, 118 nt
Filed under: Helianthus annuus (common sunflower)
Lineage: Eukaryota; Viridiplantae; Streptophyta; Magnoliopsida; Asterales; Asteraceae
Source: RNAcentral